RNAcentral lists this ribosomal RNA (496 nucleotides) under uncultured bacterium. RNAcentral's name for it is "partial 16S ribosomal RNA". It matches the Rfam family "Bacterial small subunit ribosomal RNA", at positions 28 to 506 of the family's 1533-position model. The record is from RNAcentral.
GAUGAACGCUGGCGGCGUGCCUAAUACAUGCAAGUCGAGCGAACAGAUGAGGAGCUUGCUCCUCUGACGUUAGCGGCGGACGGGUGAGUAACACGUGGAUAACCUACCUAUAAGACUGGGAUAACUUCGGGAAACCGGAGCUAAUACCGGAUAAUAUAUUGAACCGCAUGGUUCAAUAGUGAAAGACGGUUUCGCUGUCACUUAUAGAUGGAUCCGCGCCGCAUUAGCUAGUUGGUAAGGUAACGGCUUACCAAGGCAACGAUGCGUAGCCGACCUGAGAGGGUGAUCGGCCACACUGGAACUGAGACACGGUCCAGACUCCUACGGGAGGCAGCAGUAGGGAAUCUUCCGCAAUGGGCGAAAGCCUGACGGAGCAACGCCGCGUGAGUGAUGAAGGUCUUCGGAUCGUAAAACUCUGUUAUUAGGGAAGAACAAAUGUGUAAGUAACUAUGCACGUCUGGACGGUACCUAAUCAGAAAGCCACGGCUAACUACGU